UUUUUGUGUGUGCAUUUUCUCUCCUAAAACUCAUAUCCCAUCUAAAUACAAUCAUCUCGUUUUGGGAACCUAAAAAUCAAUGACAAACAUUUUUGCUCUUACAAGGUCUUCUGGAUCAGGUUAGGUUUUUGGUUGAAGUUAAAGCAGGAAGGAAGGAGUAUUAUGAUCAGCUUCUAAGUUCUAAUGGUUGUGGCAGUUGUUGCAUUGUUAAGGAAGUUGAUUUCCUGUAAAUGUAUCCCACUUCUCUUAUUUGAUUUCCUAAAUCAACUCAGCCGCCCUAUUGUCAUGACAAAGUUUUAGAAAGACGGACAUGGGACGAAAUGAUUCUUUUCCUUUUUUUAGUUAUAGAAAUAUGAUAAUUAUUUGAGUUGGAAGUAGGGAUGGCAAAAAAAAAACCGGUACCCGAUGGGGAAACUCGAAAUCCGACAAUUUUGGUGUCGGGUCCAGGCCCGGGUAAAUGGGUUUAGGGCCGGGUAUGAGAAUGGUUUUACACCCGACCCGUAAUAUAAAAACGUUGUAGUAUAAGAGAUACAAUCUGGUCAUUUCUAUGAUAGUAUAUUGAGCAUAUGAGACAUGAUUGACAUGAAUACAAUAAUA
Erigeron canadensis is the source of this 597-nucleotide long non-coding RNA. RefSeq lists it as uncharacterized. The record is from RefSeq and is a predicted model, not a curated record. NCBI's taxonomy places the organism in Eukaryota, Viridiplantae, Streptophyta, Magnoliopsida, Asterales, Asteraceae. The transcript is spliced from 2 exons.